This 258-nucleotide ribosomal RNA is filed under the name uncultured bacterium. RNAcentral describes it as "partial 16S ribosomal RNA". It matches the Rfam family "Bacterial small subunit ribosomal RNA", at positions 1242 to 1500 of the family's 1533-position model. The record is from RNAcentral.
AAGAGAAGCGAAACCGCGAGGUGGAGCAAGACUAUAAAAGCGAUCUCAGUUCGGACUGCAGGCUGCAACUCGCCUGCACGAAGUUGGAAUUGCUAGUAAUCGUGGAUCAGCAUGCCACGGUGAAUACGUUCCCGGGUCUUGUACACACCGCCCGUCACACCAUGGGAGCCGGUAAUACCCGAAGUCAGUAGUCUAACCGCAAGGAGGACGCUGCCGAAGGUAGGAUUGGCGACUGGGGUGAAGUCGUAACAAGGUACC